GAGGGUGUAGCCUAGUGGCAGAGUGCCUGCCUAGCAUGCACAAGGUCCUGGGUUCAAUCCUCAGCACCUCCA
Molecule: transfer RNA, 72 nt
Filed under: Camelus bactrianus (Bactrian camel)
Lineage: Eukaryota; Metazoa; Chordata; Mammalia; Artiodactyla; Camelidae
Also listed under: 2 other names
Rfam family: tRNA
About the family: Transfer RNA (tRNA) molecules are approximately 80 nucleotides in length. Their secondary structure includes four short double-helical elements and three loops (D, anti-codon, and T loops).
Source: Rfam by way of RNAcentral